Molecule: ribosomal RNA, 509 nt
Filed under: uncultured bacterium
Lineage: Bacteria
Description: partial 16S ribosomal RNA
Rfam family: Bacterial small subunit ribosomal RNA
Source: RNAcentral
GACAAACGCUGGCGGCAUGCCUAACACAUGCAAGUCGAACGGACAGAACAGGGAAGCUUUUCGGAGUGGAACUGGAAAGUUAGUGGCGGAUGGGUGAGUAACGCGUGGACAACCUACCUUGUAAAGGGGAAUAACCUCGAGAAAUCGAAGCUAAUACCCCAUAAUAACCUUGCUUCGCAUGAAGUAAGGAGGAAAGGCGGCCUUAGCGCUGUCGAUACAAGAUGGGUCCGCGUCUGAUUAGCUAGUUGGUGAGGUAAAGGCUCACCAAGGCGACGAUCAGUAGCCGGCCUGAGAGGGUGAACGGCCACAUUGGGACUGAGACACGGCCCAAACUCCUACGGGAGGCAGCAGUGGGGAAUCUUCCGCAAUGGGCGAAAGCCUGACGGAGCAAUGCCGCGUGAGUGAAGAAGGCCUUCGGGUUGUAAAACUCUGUCCUUAUCGAAGAGAGAGUGUUGUAGUAACUGACAAUACUAGGACGGUAGAUGAGGAGGAAGCCCCGGCUAACUAUG